RNAcentral lists this ribosomal RNA (2771 nucleotides) under Escherichia coli. RNAcentral describes it as "partial 23S ribosomal RNA". It matches the Rfam family "Bacterial large subunit ribosomal RNA". The record is from RNAcentral. Lineage: Bacteria; Pseudomonadati; Pseudomonadota; Gammaproteobacteria; Enterobacterales; Enterobacteriaceae.
GGUUAAGCGACUAAGCGUACACGGUGGAUGCCCUGGCAGUCAGAGGCGAUGAAGGACGUGCUAAUCUGCGAUAAGCGUCGGUGAGGUGAUAUGAACCGUUAUAACCGGCGAUUUCCGAAUGGGGAAACCCAGUGUGUUUCGACACACUAUCAUUAACUGAAUCCAUAGGUUAAUGAGGCGAACCGGGGGAACUGAAACAUCUAAGUACCCCGAGGAAAAGAAAUCAACCGAGAUUCCCCCAGUAGCGGCGAGCGAACGGGGAGGAGCCCAGAGCCUGAAUCAGUGUGUGUGUUAGUGGAAGCGUCUGGAAAGGCGCGCGAUACAGGGUGACAGCCCCGUACACAAAAAUGCACAUAUUGUGAGCUCGAUGAGUAGGGCGGGACACGUGGUAUCCUGUCUGAAUAUGGGGGGACCAUCCUCCAAGGCUAAAUACUCCUGACUGACCGAUAGUGAACCAGUACCGUGAGGGAAAGGCGAAAAGAACCCCGGCGAGGGGAGUGAAAAAGAACCUGAAACCGUGUACGUACAAGCAGUGGGAGCCUCUUUAUGGGGUGACUGCGUACCUUUUGUAUAAUGGGUCAGCGACUUAUAUUCUGUAGCAAGGUUAACCGAAUAGGGGAGCCGAAGGGAAACCGAGUCUUAACUGGGCGUUAAGUUGCAGGGUAUAGACCCGAAACCCGGUGAUCUAGCCAUGGGCAGGUUGAAGGUUGGGUAACACUAACUGGAGGACCGAACCGACUAAUGUUGAAAAAUUAGCGGAUGACUUGUGGCUGGGGGUGAAAGGCCAAUCAAACCGGGAGAUAGCUGGUUCUCCCCGAAAGCUAUUUAGGUAGCGCCUCGUGAAUUCAUCUCCGGGGGUAGAGCACUGUUUCGGCAAGGGGGUCAUCCCGACUUACCAACCCGAUGCAAACUGCGAAUACCGGAGAAUGUUAUCACGGGAGACACACGGCGGGUGCUAACGUCCGUCGUGAAGAGGGAAACAACCCAGACCGCCAGCUAAGGUCCCAAAGUCAUGGUUAAGUGGGAAACGAUGUGGGAAGGCCCAGACAGCCAGGAUGUUGGCUUAGAAGCAGCCAUCAUUUAAAGAAAGCGUAAUAGCUCACUGGUCGAGUCGGCCUGCGCGGAAGAUGUAACGGGGCUAAACCAUGCACCGAAGCUGCGGCAGCGACACUAUGUGUUGUUGGGUAGGGGAGCGUUCUGUAAGCCUGUGAAGGUGGCCUGUGAGGGUUGCUGGAGGUAUCAGAAGUGCGAAUGCUGACAUAAGUAACGAUAAAGCGGGUGAAAAGCCCGCUCGCCGGAAGACCAAGGGUUCCUGUCCAACGUUAAUCGGGGCAGGGUGAGUCGACCCCUAAGGCGAGGCCGAAAGGCGUAGUCGAUGGGAAACAGGUUAAUAUUCCUGUACUUGGUGUUACUGCGAAGGGGGGACGGAGAAGGCUAUGUUGGCCGGGCGACGGUUGUCCCGGUUUAAGCGUGUAGGCUGGUUUUCCAGGCAAAUCCGGAAAACCAAGGCUGAGGCGUGAUGACGAGGCACUACAGUGCUGAAGCGACAAAUGCCCUGCUUCCAGGAAAAGCCUCUAAGCAUCAGGUAACAUCAAAUCGUACCCCAAACCGACACAGGUGGUCAGGUAGAGAAUACCAAGGCGCUUGAGAGAACUCGGGUGAAGGAACUAGGCAAAAUGGUGCCGUAACUUCGGGAGAAGGCACGCUGAUAUGUAGGUGAAGCGACUUGCUCGUGGAGCUGAAAUCAGUCGAAGAUACCAGCUGGCUGCAACUGUUUAUUAAAAACACAGCACUGUGCAAACACGAAAGUGGACGUAUACGGUGUGACGCCUGCCCGGUGCCGGAAGGUUAAUUGAUGGGGUUAGCGGUAACGCGAAGCUCUUGAUCGAAGCCCCGGUAAACGGCGGCCGUAACUAUAACGGUCCUAAGGUAGCGAAAUUCCUUGUCGGGUAAGUUCCGACCUGCACGAAUGGCGUAAUGAUGGCCAGGCUGUCUCCACCCGAGACUCAGUGAAAUUGAACUCGCUGUGAAGAUGCAGUGUACCCGCGGCAAGACGGAAAGACCCCGUGAACCUUUACUAUAGCUUGACACUGAACAUUGAGCCUUGAUGUGUAGGAUAGGUGGGAGGCUUUGAAGUGUGGACGCCAGUCUGCAUGGAGCCGACCUUGAAAUACCACCCUUUAAUGUUUGAUGUUCUAACGUUGGCCCGUAAUCCGGGUUGCGGACAGUGUCUGGUGGGUAGUUUGACUGGGGCGGUCUCCUCCUAAAGAGUAACGGAGGAGCACGAAGGUUGGCUAAUCCUGGUCGGACAUCAGGAGGUUAGUGCAAUGGCAUAAGCCAGCUUGACUGCGAGCGUGACGGCGCGAGCAGGUGCGAAAGCAGGUCAUAGUGAUCCGGUGGUUCUGAAUGGAAGGGCCAUCGCUCAACGGAUAAAAGGUACUCCGGGGAUAACAGGCUGAUACCGCCCAAGAGUUCAUAUCGACGGCGGUGUUUGGCACCUCGAUGUCGGCUCAUCACAUCCUGGGGCUGAAGUAGGUCCCAAGGGUAUGGCUGUUCGCCAUUUAAAGUGGUACGCGAGCUGGGUUUAGAACGUCGUGAGACAGUUCGGUCCCUAUCUGCCGUGGGCGCUGGAGAACUGAGGGGGGCUGCUCCUAGUACGAGAGGACCGGAGUGGACGCAUCACUGGUGUUCGGGUUGUCAUGCCAAUGGCACUGCCCGGUAGCUAAAUGCGGAAGAGAUAAGUGCUGAAAGCAUCUAAGCACGAAACUUGC